This 76-nucleotide transfer RNA is filed under the name Citrobacter sp. AAK_AS5. RNAcentral's name for it is "tRNA-Met". It matches the Rfam family "tRNA". From Rfam's summary of the family: Transfer RNA (tRNA) molecules are approximately 80 nucleotides in length. Their secondary structure includes four short double-helical elements and three loops (D, anti-codon, and T loops). The record is from RNAcentral. Lineage: Bacteria; Pseudomonadati; Pseudomonadota; Gammaproteobacteria; Enterobacterales; Enterobacteriaceae.
CGCGGAGUAGAGCAGUUGGUAGCUCGUCGGGCUCAUAACCCGAAGGUCAGAGGUUCAAGUCCCCUCUCCGCAACCA